This 253-nucleotide ribosomal RNA is filed under the name uncultured bacterium. RNAcentral describes it as "partial 16S ribosomal RNA". It matches the Rfam family "Bacterial small subunit ribosomal RNA", at positions 524 to 776 of the family's 1533-position model. The record is from RNAcentral.
UACGUAGGGGGCAAGCGUUGUCCGGAAUUAUUGGGCGUAACGCGCGUGUAGGCGGCUCGGUAAGUCUGCUGUGAAAGUCCAGGGCUCAACCCUGGAAUGCCGGUGGAUACUGUCGAGCUCGAGUCCGGAAGAGGCGAGUGGAAUUCCUGGUGUAGCGGUGAAAUGCGCAGAUAUCAGGAAGAACACCGAUGGCGAAGGCAGCUCUCUGGGACGGUACUGACGCUGAGACGCGAAAGCGUGGGGAGCGAACAGG